GUUGCUCUGCCGUGCCUGUGACCUCGGGGCAAAGAGGAAGUGGCGAUUUCUACACUCAGUGCCCGGGAACCAGUGGGCACUGAGAAUGGUUUAUGGCCUGACAUG
Molecule: small nucleolar RNA, 105 nt
Organism: Chlorocebus sabaeus (green monkey)
Lineage: Eukaryota; Metazoa; Chordata; Mammalia; Primates; Cercopithecidae
Gene: SNORA17B
Product: small nucleolar RNA, H/ACA box 17B
Source: Ensembl